GACGAACGCUGGCGGCGUGCUUAACACAUGCGAGUCGAACGGAAAGGCCCUGCUUUUGUGGGGUGCUCGAGUGGCGAACGGGUGAGUAACACGUGAGUAACCUGCCCUUGACUUUGGGAUAACUUCAGGAAACUGGGGCUAAUACCGGAUAGGAGCUCCUGCUGCAUGGUGGGGGUUGGAAAGUUUCGGCGGUUGGGGAUGGACUCGCGGCUUAUCAGCUUGUUGGUGGGGUAGUGGCUUACCAAGGCUUUGACGGGUAGCCGGCCUGAGAGGGUGACCGGCCACAUUGGGACUGAGAUACGGCCCAGACUCCUACGGGAGGCAGCAGUGGGGAAUAUUGCACAAUGGGCGGAAGCCUGAUGCAGCAACGCCGCGUGCGGGAUGACGGCCUUCGGGUUGGAAACCGCUUUCGCCUGUGACGAAGCGUGAGUGACGGUAAUGGGGAAAGAAGCACCGGCCAACUACGU
Molecule: ribosomal RNA, 467 nt
Filed under: uncultured bacterium
Lineage: Bacteria
Description: partial 16S ribosomal RNA
Rfam family: Bacterial small subunit ribosomal RNA
Source: RNAcentral